AAUGUGAAUUGCAGAAUUCAGUGAAUCAUCGAAUCUUUGAACGCACAUUGCGCCCAUUAGUACUCUAGUGGGCAUGCCUGUUCGAGCGUCAUUACGACCCUUAAGCCUAGCUUAGUAUUGGGAACCUACGUGCGGCAGCUACCCUGUAGCUACCCUGUAGCUCCUUAAAGACAACGGCGGAGACGUGGAGUCCUCUGAGCUUAGUAACUUUUCUAGCUUCUGAAGGCGCCGCGGCCCCUGCCGUAAAACCCCCCAACUCUUUAGUGGUUGACCUCGGAUCAGGUAGGAAUACCCGCUGAACUUAAGCAUAUCAAUAAGCGGAGGAAAAGAAACCAACAGGGAUUGCCUUAGUAACGGCGAGUGAAGCGGCAACAGCUCAAAUUUGAAAGCUGGCCUUCGGGUCCGCGUUGUAAUUUGUAGAGGAUGCUUUUGGUUAGGUGCCUUACGAGUUCCCUGGAACGGGACGCCUUAGAGGGUGAGAGCCCCGUACGUUUGGUUACCGAGCCUCUGUAAAGCUCCUUCGACGAGUCGAGUAGUUUGGGAAUGCUGCUCUAAAUGGGAGGUAAAUUUCUUUUAAAGUUAAAUACCGGCCAGAGACCGAUAGCGCACAAGUAGAGUGAUCGAAAGAUGAAAAGCACUUUGAAAAGAGGGUUAAAUAGCACGUGAAAUUGUGGAAAGGGA
This 681-nucleotide ribosomal RNA is filed under the name Sordariomycetes sp. RNAcentral's name for it is "eukaryotic LSU rRNA". The stretch from base 269 to 681 matches the Rfam family "Eukaryotic large subunit ribosomal RNA", at positions 1 to 417 of the family's 3401-position model. The record is from RNAcentral. Lineage: Eukaryota; Fungi; Ascomycota; Sordariomycetes.